Molecule: ribosomal RNA, 253 nt
Filed under: uncultured bacterium
Lineage: Bacteria
Description: partial 16S ribosomal RNA
Rfam family: Bacterial small subunit ribosomal RNA
Source: RNAcentral
UACGUAGGGUGCGAGCGUUGCCCGGAUUUAUUGGGCGUAAAGGGCGCGUAGGCGGCUCGGCACGUCGGAUGUGAAAUCCCUCGGCUCAACCAAGGAAGUGCAUCCGAAACUGCUGAGCUUGAGUACUUAAGAGGAUCGCGGAAUUCCCGGUGUAGAGGUGAAAUUCGUAGAUAUCGGGAGGAACACCAGUGGCGAAGGCGGCGAUCUGGGAAGAUACUGACGCUGAGGUGCGAAAGCGUGGGGAGCAAACAGG